UACGUAGGGUGCGAGCGUUGUCCGGAAUUAUUGGGCGUAAAGAGCUUGUAGGCGGUGUGUUACGUCGGCCGUGAAAACCUGCAGCUUAACUGUGGGCGUGCGGUCGAUACGGGCAUCACUGGAGUUCGGCAGGGGAGACUGGAAUUCCUGGUGUAGCGGUGAAAUGCGCAGAUAUCAGGAGGAACACCGGUGGCGAAGGCGGGUCUCUGGGCCGAUACUGACGCUGAGGAGCGAAAGCGUGGGGAGCGAACAGG
RNAcentral lists this ribosomal RNA (254 nucleotides) under uncultured bacterium. Its description in RNAcentral is "partial 16S ribosomal RNA". It matches the Rfam family "Bacterial small subunit ribosomal RNA", at positions 524 to 776 of the family's 1533-position model. The record is from RNAcentral.